CGAUGAUGCAUCAGAUGCUUACAAGGGCCGAUAUAUCCACAAUGAUGGGAGUUACACUCCUUCUACAGUCAAACUCCCGGGCAAAACGAUCGGCUGACUCACCGACUUAGCCCCGGCCAAGAAAGGCAAAACGCCGACGCGACCAAUGUCGCGUUCACGACUUACCGACCAGGUCACGACCGGUCGAAGGAUAUUCGGCUUACCACCGUUUAUCACACGGCGUGACGUAAAUACCCGG
Molecule: long non-coding RNA, 238 nt
Filed under: Elaeis guineensis (African oil palm)
Lineage: Eukaryota; Viridiplantae; Streptophyta; Magnoliopsida; Arecales; Arecaceae
Description: long non-coding RNA (EGUI_LNC012384)
Source: RNAcentral